This is a long non-coding RNA of Boleophthalmus pectinirostris (great blue-spotted mudskipper), 945 nucleotides long. RefSeq lists it as uncharacterized. The record is from RefSeq and is a predicted model, not a curated record. The transcript is spliced from 3 exons. Lineage: Eukaryota; Metazoa; Chordata; Actinopteri; Gobiiformes; Gobiidae.
CUUGCUGUCAACACAUUGCCGAGGACAUGUGAAUAUCUCUGUAUAUAGCGAAGGGAUUUGAAGCAAGAUUAACAAUUAGCCCCCUCGUGGAUGUCAGCCCACGAGUUCUCACGGGUUGAAGAGUGAAUAAACCCUGUUAAAAAACCUCGUGCUCAUGCUCAUUCCUUGAGGGGUGCUACACUAGCUGUCGCCGUGAGCCCCUGGCCAUAAACAUCCUCUAACUUUCAAGUUUUGGAUAAAUACAUAAGUAGAUAAAUAAAGCAAAGAGGUGUGGAAAAUAGGCUAAAGGAAUCAGGGAUGUGUAAAGACCUUAGAAUGAAAACUUAAUUCAAAAAGCUCUUUGGAGAAUGCGGGCAUCGAUCCCGCUACCUCUCGCAUGCUAAGCGAGCGCUCUACCAUUUGAGCUAAUUCCCCUUAUAAUUCACGAUAGAGACGUGAACACAUGUCAACGGAUCUGUCUCCCGUCUCCUGAUGAUUCAGCACAGAUAGGGUAGAGGAUGUGUUGGCUCACAAUUUAAUCAGUACAAUAUACUGUAUAGCCAUUUUUUACCCUUCGACAAACAGGAAGAAGGAAGCAACCCCCCAAACCACAGAUGAGACCCACAGAAGAAGAACAGCCCUGACAGAGCAGAGAGGAGCGACAUUCAGCUCAGAGUGAUCAACCACUGAUGAUGCAGUCACUCUACACACACUACACACUACACACUACACGCACACUACAACGUUUGCCCUUUCAGUGUGGACAUGAUUUAGAAAUGAGGGUUAUUCAUGUGUUUAAAAGGCGCAGUUGCUUUUGGUUAAACAUCAGAACAGACAAUCCAAGUGUUGACAGAGCGUAGAGUGGAGAGAGCAACUUCAGAAACAGCCUGAGGAGCACAAACUUCACUUUAUUCAUUCUGUAAGAGCAGAGACAGGAAGUUCCUCCGUCCCUCUGUCCCACUAGGA